AAAUUGAAGAGUUUGAUCAUGGCUCAGAUUGAACGCUGGCGGCAGGCCUAACACAUGCAAGUCGAACGGUAACAGGAAGCAGCUUGCUGCUUUGCUGACGAGUGGCGGACGGGUGAGUAAUGUCUGGGAAACUGCCUGAUGGAGGGGGAUAACUACUGGAAACGGUGGCUAAUACCGCAUAACGUCGCAAGACCAAAGAGGGGGACCUUCGGGCCUCUUGCCAUCAGAUGUGCCCAGAUGGGAUUAGCUUGUUGGUGAGGUAACGGCUCACCAAGGCGACGAUCCCUAGCUGGUCUGAGAGGAUGACCAGCCACACUGGAACUGAGACACGGUCCAGACUCCUACGGGAGGCAGCAGUGGGGAAUAUUGCACAAUGGGCGCAAGCCUGAUGCAGCCAUGCCGCGUGUAUGAAGAAGGCCUUCGGGUUGUAAAGUACUUUCAGCGGGGAGGAAGGUGUUGUGGUUAAUAACCACAGCAAUUGACGUUACCCGCAGAAGAAGCACCGGCUAACUCCGUGCCAGCAGCCGCGGUAAUACGGAGGGUGCAAGCGUUAAUCGGAAUUACUGGGCGUAAAGCGCACGCAGGCGGUCUGUCAAGUCGGAUGUGAAAUCCCCGGGCUCAACCGGGAACUGCAUUCGAAACUGGCAGGCUUGAGUCUUGUAGAGGGGGGUAGAAUUCCAGGUGUAGCGGUGAAAUGCGUAGAGAUCUGGAGGAAUACCGGUGGCGAAGGCGGCCCCCUGGACAAAGACUGACGCUCAGGUGCGAAAGCGUGGGGAGCAAACAGGAUUAGAUACCCUGGUAGUCCACGCCGUAAACGAUGUCUACUUGGAGGUUGUGCCCUUGAGGCGUGGCUUCCGGAGCUAACGCGUUAAGUAGACCGCCUGGGGAGUACGGCCGCAAGGUUAAAACUCAAAUGAAUUGACGGGGGCCCGCACAAGCGGUGGAGCAUGUGGUUUAAUUCGAUGCAACGCGAAGAACCUUACCUGGUCUUGACAUCCACAGAAGAAUCCAGAGAUGGAUUUGUGCCUUCGGGAACUGUGAGACAGGUGCUGCAUGGCUGUCGUCAGCUCGUGUUGUGAAAUGUUGGGUUAAGUCCCGCAACGAGCGCAACCCUUAUCCUUUGUUGCCAGCGAUUAGGUCGGGAACUCAAAGGAGACUGCCAGUGAUAAACUGGAGGAAGGUGGGGAUGACGUCAAGUCAUCAUGGCCCUUACGACCAGGGCUACACACGUGCUACAAUGGCGUAUACAAAGAGAAGCGACCUCGCGAGAGCAAGCGGACCUCAUAAAGUGCGUCGUAGUCCGGAUUGGAGUCUGCAACUCGACUCCAUGAAGUCGGAAUCGCUAGUAAUCGUGGAUCAGAAUGCCACGGUGAAUACGUUCCCGGGCCUUGUACACACCGCCCGUCACACCAUGGGAGUGGGUUGCAAAAGAAGUAGGUAGCUUAACCUUCGGGAGGGCGCUUACCACUUUGUGAUUCAUGACUGGGGUGAAGUCGUAACAAGGUAACCGUAGGGGAACCUGCGGUUGGAUCACCUCCUUACCUGAAAGAAGC
This 1553-nucleotide ribosomal RNA is filed under the name Salmonella enterica subsp. enterica serovar Worthington. RNAcentral describes it as "bacterial SSU rRNA". It matches the Rfam family "Bacterial small subunit ribosomal RNA". Lineage: Bacteria; Pseudomonadati; Pseudomonadota; Gammaproteobacteria; Enterobacterales; Enterobacteriaceae. The record is from RNAcentral.